GCGGAAUGCCUCAUACAUGCAAGUCGAACGGCCCUUCGGGGUGNUGGCGGACGGGUGAGUAACACGUAUGUAAGGUGCCCUUUACUGGGGGACAACAGAGGGAAACCUCUGCUAAUACCGCAUAAGAGANUAGUUGAAAUACUCUUGUUUAAAGAUUUAUCGGUAAAGGAUCGGCCUGCGUCGGAUUAGCUUGUUGGCAGGGUAAAAGCCUACCAAGGCUACGAUCCGUAACUGGUCUGAGAGGAUGACCAGUCACAGUGGGACUGAGACACGGCCCACACUCCUACGGGAGGCAGCAGUAGGGAAUAUUGCGCAAUGGGCGAAAGCCUGACGCAGCAAUUCCGCGUGGAGGAUGAAGGUUCUUGGACUGUAAACUCCUUUCGGUGGUGACGAUAAUGACGGUAGCCACAGAAGAAGCACCGGCUAACUACGUGCCAGCAGCCGCGGUAAGACGUANGGUGCAAGCGUUGUCCGGAAUUAUUGGGCGUAAAGA
Molecule: ribosomal RNA, 493 nt
Filed under: uncultured bacterium
Lineage: Bacteria
Description: bacterial SSU rRNA
Rfam family: Bacterial small subunit ribosomal RNA
Source: RNAcentral